GAUGAACGCUGGCGGUGUGCCUAACACAUGCAAGUCGAGCGAAAGCACAAGAAGCUCGUUCCCUUACUGUUAGCGGGGGACGGGCGAGUAAGACGUAGAUCACAUUCUUAUUUUACUGGGAUAAUAUCGGGAAAAAGGUGACACUAAUAGCUCAUACUUUGUACGGCUUGAAUCAAAAGUGAUUGACGGUCUUGCCGAUUCAUAUAGACGGAUUCGGGUUGCAUUAGCUAGUUGGUAAGGUAACGGCUUACCAAGGCGACGAUGCUUAGCUGAGCUGAGAGGAUGAUCAGCCACACUGGAACUGAGGCACGGUCCAGACUCCUACGGGAGGCAGCAGUGGGGAAUCUUCGACAAUGGGCGAAAGCCUGACGGAGCAAUGCCGCGUGGGUGAUGAAGGUCUUCGGGUCGUAAAGCCCUUUUGUUGGGGAAGAACAUAUGUAGGAUAAACUGUGCACGUUUUGACGGUACCUAAACAGAAAGCCACGGCUAACUUCGUG
RNAcentral lists this ribosomal RNA (497 nucleotides) under uncultured bacterium. Its description in RNAcentral is "partial 16S ribosomal RNA". It matches the Rfam family "Bacterial small subunit ribosomal RNA", at positions 28 to 507 of the family's 1533-position model. The record is from RNAcentral.